This 261-nucleotide ribosomal RNA is filed under the name uncultured bacterium. RNAcentral describes it as "partial 16S ribosomal RNA". It matches the Rfam family "Bacterial small subunit ribosomal RNA", at positions 96 to 353 of the family's 1533-position model. The record is from RNAcentral.
UGGCGAACGGGUGAGUAACGCGUGAGGAACCUGCCUCAAAGAGGGGGACAACAGUUGGAAACGACUGCUAAUACCGCAUAAGCCCACGGGUCGGCAUCGACCAGAGGGAAAAGGAGCAAUCCGCUUUGAGAUGGCCUCGCGUCCGAUUAGCUAGUUGGUGAGGUAAUGGCCCACCAAGGCGACGAUCGGUAGCCGGACUGAGAGGUUGAACGGCCACAUUGGGACUGAGACACGGCCCAGACUCCUACGGGAGGCAGCAUG